AUGAACGCUGGCGGCUUGCCUAAUACCUGCAAGUCGAGCGAACAGACGAGGAGCUUGCUCCUCUGACGUUAGCGGCGGACGGGUGAGUAACACGUGGAUAACCUACCUAUAAGACUGGGAUAACUUCGGGAAACCGGAGCUAAUACCGGAUAAUAUAUUGAACCGCAUGGUUCAAUAGUGAAAGACGGUUUUGCUGUCACUUAUAGAUGGAUCCGCGCCGCAUUAGCUAGUUGGUAAGGUAACGGCUUACCAAGGCAACGAUGCGUAGCCGACCUGAGAGGGUGAUCGGCCACACUGGAACUGAGACACGGUCCAGACUCCUACGGGAGGCAGCAGUAGGGAAUCUUCCGCAAUGGGCGAAAGCCUGACGGAGCAACGCCGCGUGAGUGAUGAAGGUCUUCGGAUCGUAAAACUCUGUUAUUAGGGAAGAACAAAUGUGUAAGUAACUAUGCACGUCUUGACGGUACCUAAUCAGAAAGCCACGGCUAACUACGUG
This 496-nucleotide ribosomal RNA is filed under the name uncultured bacterium. RNAcentral's name for it is "partial 16S ribosomal RNA". It matches the Rfam family "Bacterial small subunit ribosomal RNA", at positions 29 to 507 of the family's 1533-position model. The record is from RNAcentral.